CGCGCAGCCAUGGUCGCUGUGCGAACACCAUAGGCGUAAAAAACAUGACUCGAGUUGUGCGGGAUUACGGGCGAGACUCUCUGCUCGUCCCUCCAUCCCCGGGUGUUAUAGCCGGCAGCCGGUGUUGGGCGCGCGCGCUUCUGGCGUGUGUGCCCAGCGCCGUGCCAUAACAUACCGCGAGUGUGCAGGAUGUGACCCGAAAGAUGGUGAACUAUGCCUGAUCAGGUCGAAGUCAGGGGAAACCCUGAUGGAGGACCGAAGCAAUUCUGACGUGCAAAUCGAUUGUCAGAGUUGGGCAUAGGGGCGAAAGACCAAUCGAACCAUCUAGUAGCUGGUUCCUUCCGAA
This 346-nucleotide ribosomal RNA is filed under the name Toxorhynchites aurifluus. RNAcentral's name for it is "eukaryotic LSU rRNA". It matches the Rfam family "Eukaryotic large subunit ribosomal RNA", at positions 683 to 965 of the family's 3401-position model. The record is from RNAcentral. Lineage: Eukaryota; Metazoa; Arthropoda; Insecta; Diptera; Culicidae.